This 488-nucleotide ribosomal RNA is filed under the name uncultured bacterium. Its description in RNAcentral is "partial 16S ribosomal RNA". It matches the Rfam family "Bacterial small subunit ribosomal RNA", at positions 28 to 507 of the family's 1533-position model. The record is from RNAcentral.
GACGAACGCUGGCGGCGUGCUUAACACAUGCAAGUCGAACGCGCCUGUCCUCUGGGUUUCUGGGGGGUGGGUGAGUGGCGAACGGGUGAGUAACACGUGAGUAACCUGCCCCCUUCUUCGGGAUAACGGUCUGAAAGGGCUGAUAAUACCGGGUAUUUACUGGUCUCCGCAUGGGGUCUGGUGGAAAGGUUUUUUUCUGGUGGGGGAUGGGCUCGCGGCCUAUUAGCUUGUUGGUGGGGUGAUGGCCCACCAAGGCUUUGACGGGUAGCCGGCCUGAGAGGGUGACCUGUCACAGUGAGACGGAGAUGCGGCCCAGACUCCUACGGGAGGCAGCAGUGGGGAAUAUUGCACAAUGGGCGCAAGCCUGAUGCAGCGACGCCGCGUGAGGGAUGGAGGCCUUCGGGUUGUGAACCUCUUGCGCCCGUGAUCAAGCCGCGACGUGGGUCGUGGUGAGGGUAGUGGGUAAAGAAGCGCCGGCUAACUACGUG